This 96-nucleotide non-coding RNA is filed under the name Subdoligranulum variabile. Its description in RNAcentral is "PreQ1-III riboswitch". It matches the Rfam family "PreQ1-III (pre queuosine) riboswitch aptamer". The record is from RNAcentral. Lineage: Bacteria; Bacillati; Bacillota; Clostridia; Eubacteriales; Oscillospiraceae.
GAGCAACUUAGGAUUUUAGGCUCCGCCGCAGUCUUUGCGGCGCAAACCGAUGGCAGGCUGGCGGUCUGCCGUACGGUCAAAAUCUAUCCGCCGGAG